UACGGAGGGUGCAAACGUUGCCCGGAAUCAUUGGGCGUAAAGCGCACGUAGGCGGUCCGUUAUGUCGGGUGUGAAAGCCCUCGGCUUAACCGAGGAAGUGCAUUCGAAACUGGCGGACUUGAGUACCGGAGAGGGUCGUGGAAUUCCCAGUGUAGCGGUGAAAUGCGUAGAUAUUGGGAGGAACACCGGUGGCGAAGGCGGCUACCUGGACCGGUACUGACGCUGAGGCGCGAAAGCUAGGGUAGCAAACAGG
RNAcentral lists this ribosomal RNA (253 nucleotides) under uncultured bacterium. RNAcentral's name for it is "partial 16S ribosomal RNA". It matches the Rfam family "Bacterial small subunit ribosomal RNA", at positions 524 to 776 of the family's 1533-position model. The record is from RNAcentral.